RNAcentral lists this ribosomal RNA (375 nucleotides) under uncultured bacterium. RNAcentral describes it as "bacterial SSU rRNA". It matches the Rfam family "Bacterial small subunit ribosomal RNA", at positions 523 to 897 of the family's 1533-position model. The record is from RNAcentral.
AUACGUAGGGAGCGAGCGUUGUCCGGAUUUACUGGGUGUAAAGGGUGCGUAGGCGGCUCUGCAAGUCAGGCGUGAAAACUAUGGGCUUAACUCAUAGACUGCGUUUGAAACUGUGGGGCUUGAGUGAAGUAGAGGUAGGCGGAAUUCCCGGUGUAGCGGUGAAAUGCGUAGAGAUCGGGAGGAACACCAGAGGCGAAGGCGGCCUACUGGGCUUUAACUGACGCUGAGGCACGAAAGCAUGGGUAGCGAACAGGAUUAGAUACCCUGGUAGUCCAUGCCGUAAACGAUGAUUACUAGGUGAGGGGGGUCUGGCCCCUUCCGUGCCGGAGUUAACACAAUAAGUAAUCCGCCUGGGGAGUACGGCCGCAAGGUUGA